AUUCCUUCCAUUCCUCUCUCUCUCUCUCUCUCUCUCUCUAAAUUGUAUGGGGAGAGAGAAAAGCUUUCUAAGCAGAUAGACAGAAACUUCUACAAGCAGGUCAUGACCUUCAAGCCAUUAACUAUAUGGAUCCAUCAACCACCACCGCCACCACCAGCAGAGUGUCCAAACCUUCAAAAAUUGGAAGCCAUGGGCUAGAAGAAAUGGUUGUUGAUCCAUCAAACAUCACCGGCGGCUUUCAAUUUGGCAUUGGAAGCUCCACUGUAGUGGUGGCUAGUUCUUGUUAAUGGGGUGCUAUCCUACCUGAGCUUUUCUAUCUCCUCCUCAACCACCUCUUCUUCAUUUUCUUUCUUUCUUUCUUUUUAUUUUUUGACUUGUUGCCUUUUAUUUUUUUUUUAUUUCUUGUCUUCUUGACCUUGUAAGACCUUUUCUUGACCUUGUAAGACCCAAUUUUAUGUUUUCUGUUCUCGUUUUUUAUUUUGUUAAAAAUCUUACAUCAGAAAUUACUGAUUAGGGUUUGGUUAUUUUGUGUCCUCGUUUUCGCCCAACUCAUGUUGUCCUUCCUUGUCUAUCCCUCCUGAGCUAUUCGGAUUAGAUUUAAAGUACAUCCCUUCGCGUAAUUUGAUGUAGGUUUUCAAAGUUUGAUGCCACUUAUAUAAAUUAUGUCACGCAUAAAGAAAAAAUCUAUCGAAGGUCGAGCUCCUUAAUUAUUAUUAGUGAACAUCUAGAUUACAAUGUUUUACUAAGUUGUUUAUACAAUUAAGGUGGGCAUUUAGGAUACCUUAAUUCUCAAGUUCAUACAAGCAUUGGAGAUCUCAAUUCAAUUUGGUCCAACCUUUUAUUUAAUUCAUGUAAUAAACUUUAUGAUCAAAUAUUAAUGUUCUUUGAA
Cornus florida is the source of this 889-nucleotide long non-coding RNA. RefSeq lists it as uncharacterized. Lineage: Eukaryota; Viridiplantae; Streptophyta; Magnoliopsida; Cornales; Cornaceae. The record is from RefSeq and is a predicted model, not a curated record. The transcript is spliced from 2 exons.